CCUACGGGUGGCAGCAGUGAGGAAUAUUGGUCAAUGGGAGAGAGCCUGAACCAGCCAAGCCGCGUGAGGGAAGACGGCCCUAUGGGUUGUAAACCUCUUUUGUCGGAGAAUAAAAUCUGGGACGUGUCCUGGUUUGUGUGUACCCUAUGAAUAAGCAUCGGCUAACUCCGUGCCAGCAGCCGCGGUAAUACGGAGGAUCCGAGCGUUAUCCGGAUUUAUUGGGUUUAAAGGGUGCGUAGGCGGUCCGUUAAGUCAGCGGUAAAAUUGCGGGGCUCAACCCUGGCGAGCCGUUGAAACUGGCAGACUUGAGUAGGCGAGAGGUACGCGGAAUGCGCGGUGUAGCGGUGAAAUGCAUAGAUAUCGCGCAGAACUCCGAUUGCGAAGGCAGCGUACCGGCGCCUGACUGACGCUGAGGCACGAAAGCGUGGGGAUCGAACAGGAUUAGAUACCCGAGUAGUC
Molecule: ribosomal RNA, 459 nt
Filed under: uncultured bacterium
Lineage: Bacteria
Description: partial 16S ribosomal RNA
Rfam family: Bacterial small subunit ribosomal RNA
Source: RNAcentral